GCAAGAAUCACAAUCUUAUUUAAACGGUAGUGAUAACCCCACAUGAUUUCACUAUAGGAUUUAGCUGCCCAGGAUGAGAACUCCUGUCCUGGGUAGUAUGCCU
Molecule: non-coding RNA, 103 nt
Filed under: unclassified sequences
Description: RAGATH-23 RNA
Rfam family: RAGATH-23 RNA
About the family: Environmental. Nearby to self-cleaving ribozyme genes
Source: Rfam by way of RNAcentral